UACAGAGGGGCAAGCGUUGUUCGGAAUUACUGGGCGUAAAGGGUGCGUAGGCGGCGCGGUAAGUCGGGUGUGAAAUCUCGGAGCUUAACUCCGAAACUGCAUUCGAUACUGCCGUGCUUGAGGACUGGAGAGGAGACUGGAAUUUACGGUGUAGCGGUGAAAUGCGUAGAUAUCGUAAGGAAGACCAGUGGCGAAGGCGGGUCUCUGGACAGUCCUGACGCUGAGGCACGAAGGUCAGGGGAGCAAACGGG
RNAcentral lists this ribosomal RNA (251 nucleotides) under uncultured bacterium. RNAcentral's name for it is "partial 16S ribosomal RNA". It matches the Rfam family "Bacterial small subunit ribosomal RNA", at positions 524 to 776 of the family's 1533-position model. The record is from RNAcentral.